Molecule: ribosomal RNA, 255 nt
Filed under: uncultured bacterium
Lineage: Bacteria
Description: partial 16S ribosomal RNA
Rfam family: Bacterial small subunit ribosomal RNA
Source: RNAcentral
UACAGAGGGUGCAAACGUUUGUUCGGAUUUACUGGGCGUAAAGCGCGUGUAGGCUGCUUCGCAAGUCGGAUGUGAAAGCCCUGGGCUCAACCCAGGAAGUGCAUUCGAAACUGCAGAGCUGGAGUCCUGGAGAGGAAGGCGGAAUUCUCGGUGUAGAGGUGAAAUUCGUAGAUAUCGAGAGGAACACCUGUGGCGAAGGCGGCCCCCCUGGGCCGGCCCUGACACUGAGACGCGAAGGCGUGGGGAGCGAACGGG